CAUUGAUGUUUCUCUCCCUUUCUUUCUUCCUUGCCCUCUCUAAAAAUAAAUAAAUAAAAUCUUAAAAAUAAAAUAAAAUAAAAUAUGCACAUGACAUACAUUUUGGCUUCAGACAAAGAAGCAUGAAUUAACAUUAUUUAAUGACAUGCAACCAGUUUUAAAGAGCUCAAUUUCUUUUUGAUGGCAUGUGUGUACAAUCACUGUGUGGAUGUUUUUACAUUGCUUUAAACAUCACCAUUUUCUCUGAAUAUUCUGUGUAUCUAAGUAACCAUGAUUGUGGUUCAUUUCACUUAAUGGCCAUUCAUAUAAAAUUAAAGCUUUGAGAAUAUUAUUAUUUGCUUCAGCUAAUAUCAGUUAUAGUACUCUUGUAUAGGAUGGCUGAUAUUUUUCAAUAACAGAGAUUUUCUCAGUCUCUUGACUUUUUCAUUUUAUUAUGUUGUUCCUUUCACUGAAAAAAAAAAGCUCAUAAUAAGUUCAAGGUGAAGUUUUCCAGCUCAAAGCUCUAAGUCAGUUUUCAUGAAAACAAUUGGCAACAACCAUCUUUGACAUCAUCCCUUUGUUCAUUCAACUUUGCGUUCUGUUGUGUAAAUGACUAUACCUGUGUGUUUUUAAAAAUCGCUAUUUCUAAUGGGCACAUUAAAAAAUCCUUAGGUAGUCAAUGCUUUUCUGCAAAUAAAUGUAAAGUGGGUUAUUGUGCUUUAGAUUAAAGGCCAGUAAGGCAGACAAAAGGGACACCAUUGCAAAUUAAACCAUAAAGGUCUGAAGUAUUAUUAAGAGAUUCACAGAUACUAUGUUCCAAUCAGGCUCAAUAAGGACUGAAUUCCUAUUAUGUUUCUUAAGCCUCCAGAAAAGACAUGGGAAGGGACCCAAAGUUAAAGUCGUCAAAUAAAAAGCACUUAGGCCAAGAGCACAUGAAUGUAUGACUGGGUAAUGGGCCUUUCAUCUUUGAAAUAAAAACAGUUCAGUUCAAUUGGAACUGAAGGUUCCCCCUUUGAGAAAGUUUAUUUUAAUGAGUUUCCAUUUUAUGCGUGGGCUGCUCUUUAAUCCAGGCUGUUCCAUUGAAGUCUUACCCAAUGAAGACGCAAGACAGAUUGUCCAAGCUUGCGGCUAUUGUUAGGGGUUGAUGAAGUGUAUGGGCCCUUAUGGUUGAUAACAGAAGUAGAUGGUCAAAGCCAAUAAAUAAAACUUUAACUCUAAUUGUUGGGUGCCUUACGCUGAAAAGGUUCCAUUAGCAUGGAUCUCCGGUUUCGAACGACUUGUGAACCCAAAGGCAGCUUGUAGCUCUGUCACACAGACUGAGUCACUUGGGCAAGCAGCAAUGUCAACUCAGUUUGGCUUUUCAAAUUAUAGACUUCUUUUUAGAAAUAAACACUGUUAAUAUCUUGACAGACAAUUGACAAUAUAUGGAUCUGCUGCAUAUAGAUUUGUCACAAAAGUGGUUUAAGGAGUAGCUUGUGCAUUGUUUUGUGGGAUCUUAAUAAUGUAAACUUUAGAAUUAACCAUUUGGUAUAUAUUAAGUAGUUGUGAUUUGAAUAUGUGUGGGAAGAAGGAUAUUUUGUGAACAACGUUAGUCACAGUAUCAUCUCAUCAUUAUAAAUGUUGGUUACCCAUCCAAGUAACAUUCGUGUGCUCUCUCCAAAUUUGUACUCCUCUAAACCCACUUAAUCCAAUGUUGGGGGUGACAGAUAUAGUAGCUGUAUACUCACAGUUGUCUUAAAACCUACCAAACCCAUUUGUCAUAAGUUUAAGUUCCUUACAAAUAUGCCCGUGACCUCAAAAUUAAACAUCACUAACUUAGCACUUCAGAAGCCACUGAACCUCAUGACUAUUUAAAUCACAAUUUUUGUAGCACAAUAGAUGGAACCUUGGUGGCCUUAAAGGACUAACCCCAACAUCGUUGUCUUGAUACUGGAAUAUAAGUUAGGUCCUUGAGGGAAGUCUACCUCAUGUUUAACUUUCCUGUUACCCUGAGAAAAAUCCAUCCCUGAUAUAUUUGAGGCAGAAAUACGAAUGGCUGCCACUAGCCCAGCCAUUUGUUCAUGUGGCUCAAAUUUGACUAGUCUACAGGGGACCUUGCAUGCCUGGAAUGAACCACUCCUCCCCCAGGAAGCUUCAUCAAACUCUCCCACAUCCCAAACAACCCCCAUUGGAUGACUUCAGACCUGGAUGUGAGCAUAAUGCCCGCAUUAUGGAAAAACAGAGCAGGAUCCUAGAAUUAUGGCUGAAUAGGUUAUUCUCUCCUCUCCUCUAUUUUGUAUUAAAAUCUAUGUGAAUAAAGUGACUAACAAGAAUCAUAAUGAGAAAAGGAGGAAAUGAAAGAAGGUGGGUUAGGAAGCCUAAUGAGGGAAGGCAGAAUAAAAUGUUGUUUGAUAAUUUAUGUAAAUUAUCCAGUGGGUGUCCUUUUCUGUCCUUUUUCCCCUUUGAAAAAUACAACAUACAGUUUAUAAUCAUGUUCAAAGUUAGUGAUUUCCCAUCUCUUCUUUAAUAAGAUUAUUUAUAAUUAUUUUAUAGCCUCAGUAUAUUUCAGACUUUUAAAAUAAUUUUCCAGAUUUUUCUUUUUCAGAAAGGACAAUUUAAGUAUUAUAAUUCCCACUUUUUUUUCUUGGAAGAGUAGCAGAAAUCCCAAUUUCUACCAAAUUUCAAGGUAGACACAUUGGAAAGAAACAAAGGUGCUUCUAGAAUCCUAGCCUGUAAUUCAUUGGUUGGAGGCCUUGGGGGCCAUCAGGGUCUCUGGUCUUCUACUGAAGCUCCCUAUUCCCUCCUCCCUAGGCUUGUUGUUUUAAUUGUUGGAAUUCCCAAACAAGGAGUGUGGGCAGCUUUAUUCAUGCAUAAGGAGAAAGGAUUCUAUGCCUUUCUACAGGACAUCGCUUCUCUGUAUCAUUAGAUCACAUGUAUGUUUAAGAUAUGAUUAAGUAUUGAGUUUAUCCUGUUGGCUUUUUCUAACCUUUAAAAAAAUCUCAUCAUUAUUGUAUGCAGCUAUACGUCCUUGGAGUAAGUAGGGUGAUGGGGACAUCAGUCUUCAUACAGUGUGUGACACAGAACCAGAAAUGGGGUGCUGUCAUGUCCAGAUCUGUCUAUCACUGAGGAAUGGCCAUAGACUUCCUGAUCAGUUCUGACAAGUCACUGACAGUUUGCAGGGGAAGCACAUAUGUGACAAAGGGCAAGCAGAGGUUACAUGUGUCAGCAAGAACCCUCUGAUUCUGGCUACAAGGAGUCAAGUUACUGGCAACUCUGGUAUUUGGAUGCUCUUGGUUUUCUUUUUAAAUGUGGCUUCAGAAAAUCACAGGUGCUCCUUCUUCCAGAUACAGUUUUCUGCUGGUUUAGUCAGUGGCUAAAUGGCAGGUCACACUGGUUUGAAUGCUAAUAUGUUCUUGGUCUUUCUGCCACUUUGUUUAUGAAUUUACACACAUUUUAUUAACAUAAUUGUGGAUUCUGGGUGGUGAGGGGUAAAUUGAUAUUACAUAAAGAACCACAAUGAAACAACUGAAUUGUUUUCAUAUCAUGUUUAGCAUAAAAAUCAUCACCUCUGGCUCCACUUUGAGUCUUAAAGUGUUAAUGUCUGUACUUUACACAGAUGAGACAGAGGCUGUGUAGCUUAGUGGUUAAGAGCUUGAAUGCUGAAGUCAGAUCUCAUGGAUUUGAGUUCAGGAUCCAGUUAAGAUUGGGUUGUGUUGAGCACUCUACUUAGUAUUUCUGGGAGUCAGUGUCCUUAUCUGUAAAGUGGGAAUGACGAGAACUCCUGCCUCCUCAUCUCGUGCGGAGGUUACUACCUGCUAAGUGUUUAGAGCAGGUCUGGUAUGUGAUAAGUGCUAUAUAAGUGUUUGCAGUUAUCACUAAAUUGUGUUGCUGAAUUUUUAUAUAGCUGAUAUGCAAUUUUUAUGAAAUAGCAUACUAUAAAAAGGAUCCAUGACUUUAUAAUUUGAUAAACUUUGGUAAAAUUUGGGCCAUUAUUCCUUGAAAAUGUUUUUGCCUCCCCCUUUCCCAUUUCUCAUUCUGGAAUUCCAAUUACUUGUAUGGAUCAGACUGCUUUAUAUUGGCCCACAGGUCAUUACAUCUCUUUUAUUUAUUUUUUAAUCCUUUAUCUGUUUUUUUUUCUUCCUUUUGGAUAGUUUCUACUUCUAUUUCUCCAAUUUGACUGAUCUUUUCUUAUAUAGUAUCUAAUCUAAUCUGCUGUUGAUCUCAUCCAGUGUAGUUUUAUUUGAUAUUUUAUUUUCCAUCUCUAAAAUUCCUAUUUUUGUAUUUCCUAUUUUUAAAUUUAUGUUUUCUUGAACAAAUGAAGCAUGUUUUUAUUUACCACUUUAUCAUCCUUAUCUGCUAAUGUUCUCUCUCUUUCUCAUUUUUGGAGGCCUAUUUUAUUGAUUGUUUUUCUAUAUUUUCCCACUUCUUUGCAUGCCUGAUAGCUUUUAUUGCAUGCUGGACAUUGAGGAUUUUAUUUGUGCAUGCUGAACUUUUUAUUUCUUUUAAUAGCGUCAGGCUUUGUUCUGGAUACAAUUAAGCUUCUCGGUAUCAAUAUGAUUACUUGGAAACUUGCUUUUAAUUUGUAACGUUGGGUCCUCAAACAUAUCAUUUCACAAAUCUCAUACAAUAUACUGAUAAUUUUUUGAUGGUACUAUGUAUUAAUUAAUUAAUUCACUAAUUAGCUUUCUAUCCAUUCAUUCAACUAAUGUUUUAUUGAAUUUAUCUGAUAUGGUAAAGAUGAAAAAGAAUCCUCAUGGAACUUAUAGUUAGGAGAGAAGACCAAUAUAGACAUAAAAUAUUUUCAGGCAGUGAAAUGCACUGAUAAUAUAAUAUGCAAACUACUGUAGAAUCUGCUGGUAUUUACUUUCUCAUGUGUAUACAAUGAAUCGUCAACCAAAGUGUACUCUCUUGUAAUUAAAUGUCUUUUCUCUCAUUAUUCUCUCUUGGCCUCACAAAGUUUUUAAUUUUUUUAUUAUUGUAAUUUCAUAAGGAGGAAAAUAUAUCUACUUUUAUAAAAAUUCAAGCAUUUAUUCCACAAAUACAUCUUGGCUGGCUAUAAUGUGCCAGUUCAUAGCUGGAGCCACAACAAUGAGCAAAACAAAGUCCUUUCAAAAUGCAAAUUCAAAAGGCACAAUCAAGUGGCUUUAAUAUAUACCAUAUUACAAAAUUAUGACUCUAUAUUUAUGUUCCUCCUUUUAAGUGACAUGAUGAUUCUAGCAUUGAGUUAAUGGCAGAAAACUUGCCCUUGGGCAGACCAGCUUGUUUCCUGUUCUGAGCUCCAGAUUAUAAGUACUACUGAAAAAAGCUAGUUCCAGAGCGGUGUUUUAAAAAAGGAUUGCUGAUGUAUUCAUAUUUUUGUCUGUGAGAGUGCUAUUUUUGUAGAAACAAAUUGGAUUCCUUUAUUUUUAGAGUUUUAGGAUAUGAAUUUCAAGAAGAUUCUUAAUUGCAAAAGAAAAGUCGGGCUAAGAGCAACUACUACAAAUGCUACUACUACUGCUCCUGCUGCUGGUUAUGAUUUCCUGAAUUGCCGACAUCUGCCCAUGCUCUGUGAAGUUCUUUACUUAAUCUCUUUUCAUCCUCAAAAGAAUCCUAUGAGCUGUAGGGUAAUAAUAAGUAUGGGAGAAAAAAGUGAGGGUGUCCAUAAAAACAUUUUUUAAGUAUUUCUGAAAAUGAGACAUAGUCACCAAGACAAAAAUAAUUUUAAAUCUGCAUUAUCAAAAGGACUAUAAUAAGACUAUUAGUACAUGCUACAUUGCACAUUGUAAAUUGCAAUUAGCAUUGUUGAUUUGAUGACUGGGUAGAUGGCUUUCUGAGCAAGCCUUAUUUGGAAGAUUCAAAUGAAAUUCUACAUUCUUUUCUUGGCAUAUUGCAAGAAUAUUUGGAAUUUAAAAUACCCCUCCCAAUAGUGCCUUCUUAGUAUCUCUGCCUUACUGAACAGCAAAUGCCCCACUCAGUUAGCUUUCCAAAGAACUAACUGACAGUUGAGAAUGCACAUUCUGUCCUCUGUCAAUAGACAUGCAUGUGAGGAUCCUUUGGCUUCCUUCUGUAUGACGGGGGCUCCUUUCUAAGAGUGACAGAUGACAAUAUCAACACUGGGCAGCAGCCAGUCUUUCAUGACCCCUCACCCUCUCUUAGUGCCACCAUGCAUCCCUUACAGGGAGCGGAGGUGAUGGGCUGCCCUGCAUUGACUGGUGCCAGAAUGGUGGGGCCACUGAUCUGGACACUGGUAGGUUUACUGUGCAGCUGUGAAGUCAUUUGCACUCAGCUGUGAAGUGUGUAAAGAUAGAGAGUUAGUAUGCAGUGGUUCUGCUGUUCAAGAAGUUGUAGCAGAUCUCUCUACAUCUUUCAUACAUAUACAUUAUGUACAUUUACAUAAGUAUAUAAUAAAUUAAUAUACAUGAAAUCAUAUAUUACUUAUAUUUUACAAAGGUCUCCCUCCCCUCACUGCCCAGCAUAUACCCAUGUACAUCUCUCUAUUUCCAGAUAUUCUUUUGUAGUGAAUUAUAAAAAUGGCCUCAUCUCAUUUUUUGUAUGUAUUGAUCAAUAAACCUUUUUCAGAACUCUUGAGUGAAUGAUUGGUGAGACUACAGAGAAUUUUACUUUGACUUUGGAUUUUAAAUCUUUAGCAAAACAAGUUAUAGUCCAAGAAAUUUUUUUAAAAAAUGAGUUAACAAAUGUUAAUGUUUUUGUGAUAUGGUAUACUAGCAUGACUUGGCAAUAAGUGGCUACCCAAGAGAGCCCUGCCAUUUUAGUCACUGCGGAGACUUUUUAUUUAAAGUGACAGUGAACUUCAAACCCAGUGAUUGACUUCGUGUUGUAAGUCACCUUUGCAGUAGACUCUGCUGAAUUUUUAAACAGCUGUAAUCUGAUCGAAUUUGUGAAGUCUCUGUUCAUUCAAAACAGAGGAAGAG
Long non-coding RNA from Phyllostomus discolor (pale spear-nosed bat), 6869 nucleotides. RefSeq lists it as uncharacterized. Lineage: Eukaryota; Metazoa; Chordata; Mammalia; Chiroptera; Phyllostomidae. The record is from RefSeq and is a predicted model, not a curated record. The transcript is spliced from 2 exons.